RNAcentral lists this ribosomal RNA (505 nucleotides) under Rothia sp. oral clone BP1-71. RNAcentral's name for it is "bacterial SSU rRNA". It matches the Rfam family "Bacterial small subunit ribosomal RNA", at positions 8 to 521 of the family's 1533-position model. The record is from RNAcentral. Lineage: Bacteria; Bacillati; Actinomycetota; Actinomycetes; Micrococcales; Micrococcaceae.
AGAGUUUGAUCCUGGCUCAGGACGAACGCUGGCGGCGUGCUUAACACAUGCAAGUCGAACGAUGAAGCCUAGCUUGCUAGGUGGAUUAGUGGCGAACGGGUGAGUAAUACGUGAGUAACCUACCUUUAACUCUGGGAUAAGCCUGGGAAACUGGGUCUAAUACCGGAUACGACCAAUCUCCGCAUGGGGUGUUGGUGGAAAGCGUUAUGUAGUGGUUAUAGAUGGGCUCACGGCCUAUCAGCUUGUUGGUGAGGUAACGGCUCACCAAGGCGACGACGGGUAGCCGGCCUGAGAGGGUGACCGGCCACACUGGGACUGAGACACGGCCCAGACUCCUACGGGAGGCAGCAGUGGGGAAUAUUGCACAAUGGGCGCAAGCCUGAUGCAGCGACGCCGCGUGAGGGAUGACGGCCUUCGGGUUGUAAACCUCUGUUAGCAGGGAAGAAGAGAAAUUGACGGUACCUGCAGAGAAAGCGCCGGCUAACUACGUGCCAGCAGCCGCGGU